AUUUAUAUAGUUUAAUAAAAACAUUACAUUUUCACUGUAAAAAUAAAUAUUUUUUUAUAAAUA
RNAcentral lists this transfer RNA (63 nucleotides) under Chloroniella peringueyi. Its description in RNAcentral is "tRNA-Glu". Lineage: Eukaryota; Metazoa; Arthropoda; Insecta; Megaloptera; Corydalidae. The record is from RNAcentral.